AGCAGCCGCGGUAAUUCCAGCUCCAAUAGCGUAUAUUAAAGUUGUUGCAGUUAAAAAGCUCGUAGUUGAAUUUCGGGAUCAAGGAAUCGGUCAUGCCUUGGUAUGUACUGGUUUUAUUGGUUCUCACCUUCUAAAGAACCAUAAUGUCAUUUAUUUGAUGUUAUGGGGAAUUAGGACUGUUACCUUGAAAAAUUAGAGUGUUUAAAGCAAGCUUACGCUUGAAUACAUUAGCAUGGAAUAAUGAAAUAGGACAUCAGAUUCUAUUUUGUUGGUUUCUAGGAUCGAUGUAAUGAUUAAUAGGGAUAGUUGGGGGCAUUAGUAUUCAAUUGUCAGAGGUGAAAUUCUUGGAUUUAUUGAAGACUAACUACUGCGAAAGCAUUUGCCAAGGAUGUUUUCAUUAAUCAAGAACGAAAGUUAGGGGAUCGAA
Molecule: ribosomal RNA, 427 nt
Filed under: uncultured Glomus
Lineage: Eukaryota; Fungi; Glomeromycota; Glomeromycetes; Glomerales; Glomeraceae
Description: SSU rRNA
Rfam family: Eukaryotic small subunit ribosomal RNA
Source: RNAcentral